This 616-nucleotide ribosomal RNA is filed under the name fungal sp. DAF-56. RNAcentral's name for it is "eukaryotic LSU rRNA". The stretch from base 391 to 616 matches the Rfam family "Eukaryotic large subunit ribosomal RNA", at positions 1 to 226 of the family's 3401-position model. Lineage: Eukaryota; Fungi. The record is from RNAcentral.
GGCGGGUUCGCCCGCCGAUUGGACAAUUUAAACCAUUUGCAGUUGCAAUCAGCGUCUGAAAAAACAUAAUAGUUACAACUUUCAACAACGGAUCUCUUGGUUCUGGCAUCGAUGAAGAACGCAGCGAAAUGCGAUAAGUAGUGUGAAUUGCAGAAUUCAGUGAAUCAUCGAAUCUUUGAACGCACAUUGCGCCCCUUGGUAUUCCAUGGGGCAUGCCUGUUCGAGCGUCAUUUGUACCUUCAAGCUCUGCUUGGUGUUGGGUGUUUGUCUCGCCUCUGCGUGUAGACUCGCCUCAAAACAAUUGGCAGCCGGCGUAUUGAUUUCGGAGCGCAGUACAUCUCGCGCUUUGCACUCAGAACGACGACGUCCAAAAGUACAUUUUUACACUCUUGACCUCGGAUCAGGUAGGGAUACCCGCUGAACUUAAGCAUAUCAAUAAGCGGAGGAAAAGAAACCAACAGGGAUUGCCCUAGUAACGGCGAGUGAAGCGGCAACAGCUCAAAUUUGAAAUCUGGCGUCUUUGGCGUCCGAGUUGUAAUUUGCAGAGGGCGCUUUGGCAUUGGCAGCGGUCCAAGUUCCUUGGAACAGGACGUCACAGAGGGUGAGAAUCCCGUAC